This 481-nucleotide ribosomal RNA is filed under the name uncultured bacterium. RNAcentral's name for it is "partial 16S ribosomal RNA". It matches the Rfam family "Bacterial small subunit ribosomal RNA", at positions 28 to 507 of the family's 1533-position model. The record is from RNAcentral.
GAUGAACGCUGGCGGCGUGCUUAACACAUGCAAGUCGAACGAAGCACUUUAUUUGAUUUCCUUCGGGACUGAUUAUUUUGUGACUGAGUGGCGGACGGGUGAGUAACGCGUGGGUAACCUGCCUUGUACAGGGGGAUAACAGUUGGAAACGGCUGCUAAUACCGCAUAAGCGCACGGCAUCGCAUGAUGCAGUGUGAAAAACUCCGGUGGUAUAAGAUGGACCCGCGUUGGAUUAGCUAGUUGGUGAGGUAACGGCCCACCAAGGCGACGAUCCAUAGCCGACCUGAGAGGGUGACCGGCCACAUUGGGACUGAGACACGGCCCAAACUCCUACGGGAGGCAGCAGUGGGGAAUAUUGCACAAUGGGCGAAAGCCUGAUGCAGCGACGCCGCGUGAGCGAAGAAGUAUUUCGGUAUGUAAAGCUCUAUCAGCAGGGAAGAUAAUGACGGUACCUGGCUAAGAAGCACCGGCUAAAUACGUG